RNAcentral lists this ribosomal RNA (253 nucleotides) under uncultured bacterium. Its description in RNAcentral is "partial 16S ribosomal RNA". It matches the Rfam family "Bacterial small subunit ribosomal RNA", at positions 524 to 776 of the family's 1533-position model. The record is from RNAcentral.
UACGAAGGGUGCAAACGUUGCUCGGAAUUAUUGGGCGUAAAGCGCACGUAGGCGGCUUAGUAAGUCGGAUGUGAAAUCCCUCGGCUUAACCAAGGAAGUGCAUCCAAAACUACUGAGCUUGAGUACUAAAGAGGAUCGCGGAAUUCCCGGUGUAGAGGUGAAAUUCGUAGAUAUCGGGAGGAACACCAGUGGCGAAGGCGGCGAUCUGGGUAGAUACUGACGCUGAGGAGCGAAAGCGUGGGGAGCGAACAGG